GAUGAAGAACGUAGCGAAAUGCGAUAAGUAAUGUGAAUUGCAGAAUUCAGUGAAUCAUCGAAUCUUUGAACGCACAUUGCGCCCUCUGGUAUUCCGGGGGGCAUGCCUGUUCGAGCGUCAUUAUAACCACUCAAGCUCUCGCUUGGUAUUGGGGUUCGCGGUUCCGCGGCCCCUAAAAUCAGUGGCGGUGCCUGUCGGCUCUACGCGUAGUAAUACUCCUCGCGAUUGAGUCCGGUCGGUCUACUUGCCAGCAACCCCCAAUUUUUACAGGUUGACCUCGGAUCAGGUAGGGAUACCCGCUGAACUUAAGCAUAUCAAUAAGCGGAGGA
This 329-nucleotide unclassified non-coding RNA is filed under the name soil metagenome. RNAcentral describes it as "partial contains 5.8S ribosomal RNA, internal transcribed spacer 2, and large subunit ribosomal RNA". The stretch from base 1 to 120 matches the Rfam family "5.8S ribosomal RNA", at positions 35 to 154 of the family's 154-position model. The record is from RNAcentral.